CUAGGUGUUAGGGGGUUUCGCCACUUAGUGCUGCAGCUAAAGCAUUAAGCACUCCGCCCGGGGAGUACCAGCGCCAGGGUGAAACUCAAAGGAAUUGACGGGGACCCGCACAAGCGGUGGAACAAGUGGUUUAAUUCCAAUCAACGCCGAAAACCUUACCAAAUCUUGACCUCCUUUGAAAACUCUCGAGAUAGAGCUUUCCCCUUCGGGGGACAAAGUGACGGGUGGUGCGGGGUUGUCCUCAUCUCGUGUCGUGAGAUGUUGGGUUAAGUCCCGCAACGAGCGCAACCCUUAACCUUAUUUGCCAUCAUUAAGUUGGGCACUCUAGGUUGACUGCCGGUGACAAACCGGAGGAAGGUGGGGAUGACGUCAAAUCAUCAUGCCCCUUAUGAUUUGGGCUACACACGUGCUACAAUGGACAAUACAAAGGGCAGCUAAACCGCGAGGUCAAGCAAAUCCCAUAAAGUUGUUCUCAGUUCGGAUUGUAGUCUGCAACUCGACUACAUGAAGCUGGAAUCGCUAGUAAUCGUAGAUCAGCAUGCUACGGUGAAUACCUUCCCGGGUCUUGUACACACCGCCCGUCACACCACGAAAGUUUGUAACACCCGAAGCCGGUGGAGUAACCAUUUAUAGAUCGGAGUGGUCAAAAGGGAGACAUGUGAAUGGUGAGAAGCAAAAAG
Molecule: ribosomal RNA, 680 nt
Filed under: uncultured Staphylococcus sp.
Lineage: Bacteria; Bacillati; Bacillota; Bacilli; Caryophanales; Staphylococcaceae
Description: bacterial SSU rRNA
Rfam family: Bacterial small subunit ribosomal RNA
Source: RNAcentral